AGAGUUUGAUCCUGGCUCAGAUUAAACGCUAGCGGCAUGCCUUACACAUGCAAGUCGAACGGCAGCGGGCUCUUCGGAGCGCCGGCGAGUGGCAAACGGGUGAGUAAUACAUCGGAACAUGCCCAGUAGUGGGGGAUAGCUCGGCGAAAGCCGAAUUAAUACCGCAUACGACCUUCGGGUGAAAGGGGGGGAUCUUCGGACCUCUCGCUAUUGGAGUGGCCGAUGCCUGAUUAGUUUGUUGGUGGGGUAACGGCCUGCCAAGACUGCGAUCAGUAGCUGGUCUGAGAGGACGAUCAGCCACACUGGGACUGAGACACGGCCCAGACUCCUACGGGAGGCAGCAGUGGGGAAUCUUGGACAAUGGGCGAAAGCCUGAUCCAGCAAUGCCGCGUGUGCGAUGAAGGCUUUCGGGUUGUAAAGCACUUUUGUCAGGGAAGAAAUGGUUCGGGCCAAUACCCCGGACUUCUGACGGUACCUGAAGAAUAAGCACCGGUUAACUACGUGCCAGCAGCCGCGGUAAUACGUAGGGUGCAAGCGUUAAUCGGAAUUACUGGGCGUAAAGCGUGCGCAGGCGGUUUACUAAGACAGGUGUGAAAUCCCCGGGCUCAACCUGGGAACUGCAUCUGUGACUAGUAGACUAGAGUUUGGCAGAGGGGGGUGGAAUUCCUGGUGUAGCAGUGAAAUGCGUAGAUAUCAGGAGGAACACCGAUGGCGAAGCAGCCCCCUGGGCCACCACUGACGCUCAUGCACGAAAGCGUGGGGAGCAAACAGGAUUAGAUACCCUGGUAGUCCACGCCCUAAACGAUGUCAACUUAGUUGUUGGAUCUUUCUGAUUUGGUACCGAAGCUAACGCGUGAAGUUGACGGCUGGGGGAGUACGCCGCAAGGUUAAACUCAAGGAAUUUGACCGGAACCCGCAUCAGCGGGUGAAUGAUGUGGAUUAAUCGAUGCACGCGGAGAAACCUUACUAACCCUGGACUGUCAGAAAUUUGCCAAAUGCGAAGGCUUCGAGAGGAAAUGAUACACAGGGCGUGCAAUGACUC
This 1042-nucleotide ribosomal RNA is filed under the name uncultured bacterium. Its description in RNAcentral is "bacterial SSU rRNA". It matches the Rfam family "Bacterial small subunit ribosomal RNA", at positions 8 to 1051 of the family's 1533-position model. The record is from RNAcentral.